GCCAUUGGCAGCCCAGGAGAAGGGCACUUCCGGGCGGGGUGGAAGACGCGGGCCAAUCAGUCUGCAAGCGGGACUUCUGUCGUCGUCCUCGGACCAUCACUUCGGCAUUUCACGAUUUUGUCUGCAUCUGAAGGGACCGCGUUGUCAGGCGAGGGACGGAAUCUUGGAGGCUCCCUGGGCCCAUGGAAACAGGAGGAAGGCACGAGAGUCGGGGAAGUUCCGCCUCCGUGACAUAUAAGCGCCCCGACCGCGGCGAAUAUCGCCCCCCAAGCCCCAGUGUUCCCCCCGGCCGUAGAUGAAGCCGGCCCAGUGGGACCUCAGGUCGCACCGCGCGGAGGUGUCCGCGGCUCCCGGGAGUCGUCGCCCUUGGCGUUGUGUCGGCUUUACGGAGCGCGAGGCCGAGGCCAAGAAAAGCCACGCAUUGGGAGGUCUUGACCCAGCGUGCGCCCGGCUGCAGGCUUGGGGCGUGUGCCAAGGGUCUCCUGGCACCCACUCGGCUGGACUCAGCACCAUUGCCCUAAGUCUCCGAUUGAGAAGUACCUGCCCCAGGUCCUCUGCAGCGCCACCGGACAGUGUAGAGCGUUCACAGCACCAUGAAGAGAGGAAGGAGAUGACAUCACCCAUGGAAGGACAUAUAUACCCUGUCCAGUGUCCUUGUUGGCAAAAACACAGUAAGCCAAGUUGACACCUCCCUGAUAAUUCCAGAAGUCCUCUGGACCACUCAGAUUGCUUAAAACCUACCCAUCUAGAAGAAGAAAUGACAUCCACCCCAAAAAGUAUGUGCCCUGAAAAACAUACCUUCUGAAGUUUCUGUCAACACUACUGGAGACAGAGGUCAGUGGAGCCCGAGUAAAUGUCCAGGUAACAGCCAUGCUGGGGGUCAAUGCAGUGGGGAUGUUUCCAUGGUGAUGCCAGAAGAGCCCAUGCCACAGCCUGCUGACUUUAUCCUUUGACCUGUCCAGAAGUCCAGAGAUGCUGUGAACGCUUACUGUAGCCUCCAUGCUGGCCUUAGGGGGACACCAAGAUUCCUGGAUAUGGAAUCCACUGAGCACCUUUGCCUGCAGACUUCAGUGCCAGGGGCCACAUCGACAACCCCUGACUCUCCCAAUACUGUUCCUCUACCCACAAGCCUCUGUGGUUCCCUAAAAGGAGAUAUUGUUUUCCCCACUCCCUGCCUUGAUGCCUAGACUCAGGCCUGACUGCAGUCAUCUGCCAAGUUGUCUCUGGAAAACCUUUGACACAGGUAUUGUGAAUGCCCCAGUCUCUGUCUUUAUCCCCACCACUACCAAGCCCAGUAAUUACCCAUUCUCUUAGGACCUGACCCAUCUCCACCUCCCAGGCUUUCUCCUGAUCCAAGGCUGUCUGGGAAAUCCAGCUCCAAGGUAACAGUUGCUUUUGAGGCUCCCCAAAGGGCUUGUGAAAUACUCAGGAUUCCUUUUUUUUUGAGACAGAGUCUCACUCUGUUGCCCACGAUGGAGUGCAGUGGAGCUAUCUCAGCUCACUGCAGACUCUGCCCCCUGGGUUC
Long non-coding RNA from Rhinopithecus roxellana (golden snub-nosed monkey), 1525 nucleotides. RefSeq lists it as uncharacterized. Lineage: Eukaryota; Metazoa; Chordata; Mammalia; Primates; Cercopithecidae. The transcript has 3 exons. The record is from RefSeq and is a predicted model, not a curated record.